This 526-nucleotide ribosomal RNA is filed under the name uncultured bacterium. Its description in RNAcentral is "bacterial SSU rRNA". It matches the Rfam family "Bacterial small subunit ribosomal RNA", at positions 984 to 1509 of the family's 1533-position model. The record is from RNAcentral.
ACAUCCAGAGAAUUUAGCAGAGAUGCUUUAGUGCCUUCGGGAACUCUGAGACAGGUGCUGCAUGGCUGUCGUCAGCUCGCGUUGUGAAAUGUUGGGUUAAGUCCCGNAACGAGCGCAACCCUUAUCCUUUGUUGCCAGCACGUAAUGGUGGGAACUCAAAGGAGACUGCCGGUGAUAAACCGGAGGAAGGUGGGGAUGACGUCAAGUCAUCAUGGCCCUUACGAGUAGGGCUACACACGUGCUACAAUGGCGCAUACAAAGAGAAGCGACCUCGCGAGAGCAAGCGGACCUCAUAAAGUGCGUCGUAGUCCGGAUUGGAGUCUGCAACUCGACUCCAUGAAGUCGGAAUCGCUAGUAAUCGUAAAUCAGAAUGUUACGGUGAAUACGUUCCCGGGCCUUGUACACACCGCCCGUCACACCAUGGGAGUGGGUUGCAAAAGAAGUAGAUAGCUUAACCUUCGGGAGGGCGUUUACCACUUUGUGAUUCAUGACUGGGGUGAAGUCGUAACAAGGUAAGCGUAGUGCU